This 180-nucleotide ribosomal RNA is filed under the name uncultured Glomeromycotina. Its description in RNAcentral is "partial small subunit ribosomal RNA". Lineage: Eukaryota; Fungi; Glomeromycota. The record is from RNAcentral.
GGAUUAGUGCGCCGGUCGUGCCUUCGGUAUGUACUGGUGUUACUGGUUCCUACCUUCUGACGAACCGUCAUGUCAUUAAUUUGGUGUGGCGGGGAAUCAGGACUGUUACUUUGAAAAAAUUAGAGUGUUCAAAACAAGCUUAUGCUUGAAUACAUUAGCAUGGAAUAAUAGAAUAGGACU